UCCAGCUGUCUGGCCAAGGAGCUUCAGUGUCUUCUAGCAAGCACCCCAGAGGCAGAAGACGGUCAUCCGUGGUACCGGACUGCGGCGAACAAGCUGACUGCGCAGUCACGUGGGGCUGACGGUGGGUCAUGUGACCAGGCUCUGGAUUUGGCUUGCGGAGAGGAGUGUUUUCUUACACCCAGAAAGGACCUGAAAGGCGGAAGACACCUGUGCUCCGCAGAGCAGAACGUGGGAGGAAGGGCGGCAUAUUAAGGUAGGAGCUCAAGAAGCAGAGAGUCUACCUGCCUGACGCCUUGGUGGAAAGGAGCAGCGGUUGCUAUUGGAGGAAGUGGGUGCAAGGACGGCAGAUGCCAUCCCUAAGAGGUGGUGACUGAGACUAGAUGCGGGUGCAGUAUUCAGAAAGUGGGGAUGGCUGAUACCAGCUCAAAACUGGCAGAGGGUGGAGGAGGACAGGAGAAGGGAACACAUACAUCUGCCAUUUUCUCCAAGGCUCCAGCUGACUGGGGAUGCAAGAGAGGAAUGAACCUCAAUCCUGGCAGUUCUAGGAAAAGGAGGAGGAGACAUAGACUGGAGGAGAGGAAACCUAGAUGCUGUGGGUCUUUCACCUAGGAUUUCUCAUUAGGAUACUCCAAGCUUCUCGACCCCCAACGGGAUUCCUGGAUCUCAGCCCCAUGCAGCAGAAUCUCAUUCCCAUUGAGGGACACAAAGUGGAUUGCUGCUCCAUGUGACACUCUCCCUGCUCUCUUGGGCCUCAGAGGAGGGUCUUUCUGGGGAGCACCUACAGAAACUGCUUCAUGGAUAGUUUCCUAAGUUCCCCUCUGCAUACCCUUUGCCCUCUUGUGUUGUGAUCUCUGCUUAUUCCUUAGGAUGUGUUUCUUUGGUCCCAUCCCAGGUAGCAACCCCAUGGUAAGUCCUUGUCCUGUUUCACAUUGAGUAUCCUUCUUUCCCCCUGCCCCAUGCAUCCACUGGGUACCAAGUGAAAGAAAGUGGUUCCUCUACCCACAAUACUUCUGGCACAGAAUGUGUGGAUUUUUCACACCAAGCAAUUCUCCUAUUCUUUGAGGACACCAGUUAGGUAUCCUACAAUUUAAUUCAAUUCAGACACUACCCAGAGUUAGUGCAGACUUCUCUGGUUAAGGGCUCAUUCCCAUAAGACUGCCCUCUCCCACUUCAGACAGCAAUCACAAGUAAUGGAUCUCCACCUUACCCACACUUCUGUCUGACUUAGCUCCCAGUUGGGA
Piliocolobus tephrosceles (Ugandan red Colobus) is the source of this 1241-nucleotide long non-coding RNA. RefSeq lists it as uncharacterized. The record is from RefSeq and is a predicted model, not a curated record. The transcript is spliced from 3 exons. NCBI's taxonomy places the organism in Eukaryota, Metazoa, Chordata, Mammalia, Primates, Cercopithecidae.